AAAAUAGGGAAUGAGGUUCUCCCUAAGCAAUUAUUUGCUUGAACCGCUUGAAUUUUAAGCUGAUGACUUCUGCGA
Molecule: non-coding RNA, 75 nt
Filed under: pig gut metagenome
Description: Fluoride riboswitch
Rfam family: Fluoride riboswitch aptamer (crcB RNA motif)
Source: RNAcentral